UUACCUGGUCUUGACAUCCCGGAGACCCUUAGGAAACUAGGGGUGCUUCCAUCUGGAAGAAUCUGGAGACAGGUGCUGCAUGGCUGUCGUCAGCUCGUGUCGUGAGAUGUUGGGUUAAGUCCCGCAACGAGCGCAACCCUUGCCUUUAGUUGCCAGCAGUUCGGCUGGGCACUCUAAAGGGACUGCCGGUGUUAAACCGGAGGAAGGUGGGGAUGACGUCAAGUCCUCAUGGCCUUUAUGACCAGGGCUACACACGUACUACAAUGGCCGAUACAAAGGGCAGCGACACUGCGAGGUGAAGCCAAUCCCGUAAAAUCGGUCUCAGUCCGGAUUGGAGUCUGCAACUCGACUCCAUGAAGUUGGAAUCGCUAGUAAUCGUGGACUCAGCAAUAGCCACGGUGAAUACGUUCCGGGCCUU
RNAcentral lists this ribosomal RNA (418 nucleotides) under uncultured Desulfobulbus sp. RNAcentral describes it as "bacterial SSU rRNA". It matches the Rfam family "Bacterial small subunit ribosomal RNA", at positions 971 to 1382 of the family's 1533-position model. The record is from RNAcentral. Lineage: Bacteria; Pseudomonadati; Thermodesulfobacteriota; Desulfobulbia; Desulfobulbales; Desulfobulbaceae.